GAUGAACGCUGGCGGCGUGCCUAAUACAUGCAAGUCGAGCGAACAGGGUUGGUACUUGUACCUCUUGGGUGAGCAGCGGACGGGUGAGUAACGCGUGGGUAAUCUACCUUUAAGCGGGGGAUAACUUCUGGAAACGAAUGCUAAUACCGCAUAAAAUCUUUAACCACAUGUUUUAAGAUUGAAAGAUGCAUUUGCUUCACUCAAUGAUGAUAUCGCGUCGUCAUAGGUUGUUGGUUAGGUAAACGCUCAACAAAGCGAUGAUACAUAGGCGACCUGAGAGGGUGAACCGCCACAAUGGGACUGGGACACCGCCCAAGCUCCCACGGGAGGGAACAGGAGGGGAUCUUCGGCAAUGGACGAAAGUCUGACCGGGCAACGCCGGGGGAGUGAAGGAGGGUUUCGGAUCGUAAAACUCUGUUGGUAGGGAAGAACGAUGGUGGGAAUGGAAAGCGCAUCAAGUGACGGUAACUACCCAGAAAGCGACGGCUAACUACGUG
This 497-nucleotide ribosomal RNA is filed under the name uncultured bacterium. Its description in RNAcentral is "partial 16S ribosomal RNA". It matches the Rfam family "Bacterial small subunit ribosomal RNA", at positions 28 to 507 of the family's 1533-position model. The record is from RNAcentral.